Molecule: long non-coding RNA, 1745 nt
Organism: Pecten maximus
Lineage: Eukaryota; Metazoa; Mollusca; Bivalvia; Pectinida; Pectinidae
Exons: 3
Source: RefSeq, a predicted model, not a curated record
AGCGAGACACAAAACGAGAAGAAACCGGCGACAUUUUGUUUUGCGUCCGAGAGACUUUUGGCGAAGCUAAAAUAUUUCCUAAAUAUUUGAUCAUCUCAAAAUGUCAAGUCAAAUCCAGAGCUUGCAGAAACAGUUGGGACAGCUUCGUCUUGAGGCUAAUGUACAACGAAUCCCAGUUUCGCAAGCGAUUGAGGAAAUUAUGAAUUACACAAACCAGCAUGCCCCAGAAGAUGGCUUGGUGAAUGGAGUGAUACAGUCUGUGAAUCCAUUCAGAGACCAAAAAAGUUGCAUAAUAGUCUGAUUUAGAUAAUCCUGUAAUGCCGAUCAUCCGUAGUAUCAAGAUCUCCAAAAAAAGGAAAUGAAAGGAUCUGCAACUGAAGGACCAAAAUUGGGCAUCGUGCAACAUUUAUGUUUAAAAGAAAAACAUUUUUGACAACACUCUUUUUUAUAUCGAGCACAAUUUAUAAUUUGUUAAAACUACAAUUUCUUAAGUGGAACUGUCGGAAAAUGAAUUUCAUGAAAAGGUCUUGAAAAACUUCUACAAUAAGACUAUUAUCUUUUUAAAUCAUUUAUUGUAUUUAAAUUUUCAAUCUCAUAUUCUUUUGUUUUUUCAACCAUUUAAUGACUAUCUUCUUUACAAUGUGAGAUAUAUAUGCUGCUCAGAUCCUGUUGGUCUUGCUAGUGUUUUUACAAUGAGAUUUUGAAUAUUUUUUAACGCCUUAGAUUAUUCUGCUUGAAUUGGAUACAUCUUGUUAUUUUAUAUAUAUAUAUCUAUAUCUAGCUAUAGCAAGUAUCUGAAACUGAAAUCUCAGUCAGUAACCUUUGAUAGACUAUUUUCUUACAAGAAAUUCUAAAUUGAUAUCACUAGGAUGUAAUACAGUAAUAACACAGCACACUGCAUAUAUAUUGAAACCUCACGGGACAAAUGUUAUAUAAUAUAAAUCUAAUUUCCAGUUAUCCUGACCUUAUCAAUACAGGUAAACUCUUCAUGUUGCAAGUUUUGACCUUUUGACCCAGCUGACCGACUGAGAGUUUGGAUAAUUGAAAGCUCGCAUAUAUAUAUUGUAGAAUUCUUAACUGCUUUUUGAAAAUUUAUAUCACACUUCAUGUUUUUAGGAGUGAAUCAAUGAUUUGACCAGUAAGGACUAACAAACUAACAUAUAUAUAUCACAUCAGAGUACUUAAUAGUUUGAUCCAUAUUAAAUCAUCCCACCUGGAUCGACCAAACUUCAAUUGUAUAUCUUGUUCUUAAGGACACGAUUUGAACAGUGAUGCAUGGAAUUUUCUAAAUUGGCAAAUUAUGUUUAAAUAUUCAGAAUGAAGAGGGUUGAGGAGGAGGGUUUUCUGUAUUGGAAAUAUAGUGUGUAUGGAAUACAACUUUUAGCAUCAAGAAGAUUACAUUUCGUAAUAAAAGUACUGCAGAAAAAACUACAGGCAUGCGUAGCAUGUUAAAUUAUCACUAUUUAAUAUGAACACUGUUGGAGAUUUAAAAAAAAAAAUAGAAAUGUUUUAAUAGUAAAUUUCUGUAUUUUGAAACUUCAUUGGGUGAAAAAUAUUGCUGACUGGAAUAACAACGCUAUACAAUGUAUAUGCAUUAAAAUUGUUCAAUGUUGACAUUUGGAAGAUUUAAAUUAUUUCAUAACUUAUCAUGACCACAAUUCAGAUCAUAUAAUGUAUUCAAGUAGCAGUAGUGUCUGUCUCGUAACGUUUCUAUAGUACAUGUAUUAAAAAAACAGUAUUUUAAU